Molecule: long non-coding RNA, 191 nt
Organism: Oxyura jamaicensis (ruddy duck)
Lineage: Eukaryota; Metazoa; Chordata; Aves; Anseriformes; Anatidae
Exons: 3
Source: RefSeq, a predicted model, not a curated record
UGAGGGCUUCGGCGGGCGGCGUGCCGGGGAGAGCACCGGCGGCGGGCUCAGCAUCCUUUGUGGCAGCCGGGCGCGCCUUGCCGCUGGCCGGCAGCUCCAGCUCCGAGGGACCUGGCGAAGGGCGAGAAGCCCACCGAUGGCCGCGCGGCGAGGACCGGGGACGCGUGGAUGCUCCUCCAGAGCUUGCCUGC